AAAUCCGCUUACCGCAAAGGCUGAGCUGUGAUGGGGAAGCUCCUUAUGGAGCGAAGUCUUCGAUUCCCCGCUGCCAAGAAAAGCUUCUAGCGAGAUAAAAGGUGCCUGUACCGCAAACCGACACAGGUAGGCGAGGAGAGAAUCCUAAGGUGAGCGAGAGAACUCUGGUUAAGGAACUCGGCAAAAUGACCCCGUAACUUCGGGAGAAGGGGUGCUUUCUUAACGGAAAGCCGCAGUGAAUAGGCCCAAGCGACUGUUUAGCAAAAACACAGGUCUCUGCGAAGCCGUAAGGCGAAGUAUAGGGGCUGACACCUGCCCGGUGCUGGAAGGUUAAGGAGAGGGGUUAGCGUAAGCGAAGCUCUGAACUGAAGCCCCAGUAAACGGCGGCCGUAACUAUAACGGUCCUAAGGUAGCGAAAUUCCUUGUCGGGUAAGUUCCGACCCGCACGAAAGGUGUAACGAUUUGGGCACUGUCUCAACCAGAGACUCGGUGAAAUUAUAGUACCUGUGAAGAUGCAGGUUACCCGCGACAGGACGGAAAGACCCCGUGGAGCUUUACUGUAGCCUGAUAUUGAAUUUUGGUACAGCUUGUACAGGAUAGGCGGGAGCCUUUGAAGCCGGAGCGCUAGCUUCGGUGGAGGCGCUGGUGGGAUACCGCCCUGGCUGUAUUGAAAUUCUAACCUACGGGUCUUAUCGACCCGGGAGACAGUGUCAGGUGGGCAGUUUGACUGGGGCGGUCGCCUCCUAAAGUGUAACGGAGGCGCCCAAAGGUUCCCUCAGAAUGGUUGGAAAUCAUUCGUAGAGUGCAAAGGCAUAAGGGAGCUUGACUGCGAGACCUACAAGUCGAGCAGGGACGAAAGUCGGGCUUAGUGAUCCGGUGGUUCCGCAUGGAAGGGCCAUCGCUCAACGGAUAAAAGCUACCCCGGGGAUAACAGGCUUAUCUCCCCCAAGAGUCCACAUCGACGGGGAGGUUUGGCACCUCGAUGUCGGCUCAUCGCAUCCUGGGGCUGUAGUCGGU
Molecule: ribosomal RNA, 1017 nt
Filed under: Bacillus cytotoxicus
Lineage: Bacteria; Bacillati; Bacillota; Bacilli; Caryophanales; Bacillaceae
Description: bacterial LSU rRNA
Rfam family: Bacterial large subunit ribosomal RNA
Source: RNAcentral